AGGGAACACAUAUUCAGCUGAAUAUCUUUCUUCACAUGUGGAAUCUGCAAUUUGAAGAGGUGUUUGAAACUCAGCCUCUGUUAACUCCUUCAUGAGUGUCUCACCCCCUCUUUUCUCUCCAUCAUCUAUCCACUGUUGAUGAUCUCCCUGAUGAUCUUCAUCCCUUAUUUCUCCAUUGUGAAGUGUUAUUAUUUUAUUACCAUUGUCAGUUUCCGAAGUGCUAUUGAUACUAUUUGCUUUCUCACCCCUUUUUUCUUGAUAAUUAGCAAAUGCAUUAGUAAUCCAUUCCUUUGUAGAAGAAA
Molecule: long non-coding RNA, 302 nt
Organism: Solanum verrucosum
Lineage: Eukaryota; Viridiplantae; Streptophyta; Magnoliopsida; Solanales; Solanaceae
Exons: 2
Source: RefSeq, a predicted model, not a curated record